Molecule: ribosomal RNA, 460 nt
Filed under: uncultured bacterium
Lineage: Bacteria
Description: partial 16S ribosomal RNA
Rfam family: Bacterial small subunit ribosomal RNA
Source: RNAcentral
CCUACGGGUGGCAGCAGUGAGGAAUGUUGGUCAAUGGACGAGAGUCUGAACCAGCCAAGUAGCGUGAAGGAUGACUGCCCUAUGGGUUGUAAACUUCUUUUAUAUGGGAAUAAAACGCUCCACGUGUGGGAUUUUGUAUGUACUAUAUGAAUAAGGAUCGGCUAACUCCGUGCCAGCAGCCGCGGUAAUACGGAGGAUCCGAGCGUUAUCCGGAUUUAUUGGGUUUAAAGGGAGCGUAGGUGGAUUGUUAAGUCAGUUGUGAAAGUUUGCGGCUCAACCGUAAAAGUGCAGUUGAAACUGGCAGUCUUGAGUACAGUAGAGGUAUGCGGAAUUCGUGGUGUAGCGGUGAAAUGCUUAGAUAUCACGAAGAACUCCGAUUGCGAAGGCAGUUCACUGGACUGCAACUGACACUGAGGCUCGAAAGUGUGGGUAUCAAACAGGAUUAGAUACCCGGGUAGUC